UACAGAGGUCCCAAGCGUUGUUCGGAUUCACUGGGCGUAAAGGGUGCGUAGGUGGUGGGGUAAGUUUGAUGUGAAAUCUCCGAGCUUAACUCGGAAAUGGCAUUGAAUACUAUUCCGCUAGAGGUUUGGAGGGGGAUCUGGAAUUCCUGGUGUAGCGGUGGAAUGCGCAGAUAUCAGGAGGAACACCGGUGGCGAAGGCGGGAUCCUGGGCCAGUACGUGAC
Molecule: ribosomal RNA, 222 nt
Filed under: uncultured bacterium
Lineage: Bacteria
Description: partial 16S ribosomal RNA
Rfam family: Bacterial small subunit ribosomal RNA
Source: RNAcentral